GUCAAGAGUUUUGGCACCGUUUUUGGUGAGCAAAUUUCUUUUGCCUCGAGAAAGGUGAAGAAAGAUG
RNAcentral lists this small RNA (67 nucleotides) under uncultured Rhizobium sp. RNAcentral's name for it is "S-element". It matches the Rfam family "S-element". Rfam says of the family: This family represents a group of S-elements from p42d and related plasmids. The record is from RNAcentral. Lineage: Bacteria; Pseudomonadati; Pseudomonadota; Alphaproteobacteria; Hyphomicrobiales; Rhizobiaceae.